This 442-nucleotide ribosomal RNA is filed under the name uncultured bacterium. RNAcentral's name for it is "partial 16S ribosomal RNA". It matches the Rfam family "Bacterial small subunit ribosomal RNA", at positions 338 to 795 of the family's 1533-position model. The record is from RNAcentral.
CCUACGGGUGGCUGCAGUGGGGAAUAUUGGGCAAUGGGCGCAAGCCUGACCCAGCAACGCCGCGUGAAGGAAGAAGGCUUUCGGGUUGUAAACUUCUUUUGACAGGGAAGAGUAGAAGACGGUACCUGUCGAAUAAGCCACGGCUAACUACGUUCCAGCAGCCGCGGUAAUACGGAGGUGGCAGGCGUUGUCCGGAUUUACUGGGUGUUAAGGGCGUGUAGCCGGGUUGACAAGUCAGAUGUGAAAGCCUUCGGCUUAACCGCAGAACUGCAUUUGAAACUGUUGAUCUUGAGUGCUGGAGGGGCAGACGGAAUUCCUGGUGUAGCGGUGAAAUGCGUAGAUAUUAGGAGGAACACCAGUGGCGAAGGCGGCCUGCUGGACAGCAACUGACGGUGAGGCGCGAAAGCGUGGGGAGCAAACAGGAGUAGAUACCCUGGUAGUC